AAAACCCGGAAGGACCCCGCCGAAGGUUUUCUCCGGUUCGGGAGAGAGACGGAGUCCCGCUCUGUCACGCAGGCUGCCAGGCUGGCGUACAGUGGCGCAAUCUCAGCUCGCUGCAACCUCCACCUCCUGGGUUCAAGCGAUUUUCUUGCCUCUGCCUCCUGAGUAGCUGGGAUUACUGGCACACACCACCAUGCACAGUUCCUUGUUCAAAAUGCCAAGAACCUGGAUGACUCAUAGUCAAGACCCUCCACCAGUAACAUAUAUUGGCGAGCCAGCCAGGAGCUUGGAACCCUCGGUGGACAGUGCCUAAGCACAGAGGCAACCACAGGUUUCUAACAGGGCCACUCUCUGGUGAAACUGAAAGGUUUCUGUGUGAAAGUGCCUGACCACCACUGCCCAAUUCAGACCACUACAGGAAACACUCCAUUUAUUCCACCUGACUUCCCACUUGGCUGCAUCCUCAACCAUUGAAAUGAAUUUGACCCUGAUAAUCUAAGGAGGAAACAUUUGAUAUUCUUUUGCAAUAAUACUUGGCCCCAGUAUUGUUUGGAAUCUGGAGUUUGCUGUUGAAUGGGAAAGCAGGAUGACGUUGCAUGUAUCCAGGCUUUGGUGCUGCUGUCCUAAGAAGGGUCAGGCCUAGUCAGCAUAUGGUGCUCUCCUUUGGUGCUAUUUGGCUCCAGUGUCUUUGGAGUCUGAGGAGGUUUGGCCUUUAAAAAUCAAACUGCCACCGGAACUGCUUUAAAAAUGUUUGGUUCACAGCCUUCACUGGAUUACCUAUUGGAGCAAACAAAGUGUAACCAUGUAAAACCUGUGAGCUUGUAUUGAUAUCUCAUGGCUAGAGUUCCAAGCGAAUGGGUCUCAUGAGAUCUGAUGGUUUUGAAAAUGGGAGUUGCCCUGCACAAGCUCUCCUUUUGCCUGCUGCCAUCCACAUAAGAUGUGAUUUGCUCUUCCUUGCCUUCCACCAUGAUUGUGAGGCCUUCCCAGCAUGUGGAAAUGGUCCAGCCUGCAAUAACUGAAGCCCCCAGACCUGGAACCUGAAGAUCCCAUCAGCCACUAAACCUGUGAACCUGUAGAAGACCUGAAGUACCUGUUUAAAAGGCAGCCAAAAGAUAAGUAAAUUCCUAUCAACUUUCCUUGGUGUCCUUCUUGUAUAUUUACUGUAAGCUGGAUAUAAUAGUAGCCAUUUUUAUAUUUUUACAAUUUAAUUGCUUUCUUCCAAAUGGAUUGAAUCACUUCUUUUAAAGUGUUUUAAUUAAUUUUUAUCUAUAGAACAAAAUAACAAAUAAGUAUUUUUUUUUUAUACCAUAAUGGUCACCCACAGCCUGUGUAUACUAAGACCAUGCAUACUGAUAAUCAGCUUUAUUUUACAAAAGAGUUUCGCUUUACCCCUCUGGUAAUUAAUGGAUUCUGGGUAUUUAUUAAAAACUUUAACACAAAGACUGUUAAAUACCACCAGUCCAGCUUUGGCAAGGCACUGUUGGCUUUGUUUAUCUCCAUCAUCAUCCAAACAGACUACCAAUCCUGAUCCCAGCCCAAUCUUGGGCCCUUGAAAAAAUAACUUAACAUCCUAACUACAAGGGAGAAACUCCUUUCAAAUUAAUGAACCUGGCUGACUUAUAUAGCCUUAAAAUUAUGGAAAUGACAAGGGUUACAAUGUCAGAAUGAGCAGUAAACCUUCCCCAGUCCUAUCAGAGCAAACUUUCUGGGGUUGCAUCCCCUCAGAAACCCAUUUGGGGCCCAAUCUCAAUGCACAUAUCAGUGCGCAAAGCACUAAAAUUCCAGGCAACACUUUGUAUUGAGAGAAGCCAAAAUUUUGGUCCCGCCCUGGGACAUCUAAAGUCACCAAUGUAACUACACCAUACAGAUUAAACCCUCACAUGAUCAUGUAAGCUAUGCAGUUACCCAAGCUGCAUCAUUUAGAAAACCUGUACAGUUUUUAUGGAAACCAUCCCUAGUCAAGGACACUUUAAAUAUAUAGUCUAAAUACCGUUAAGGUAGGCCCACUAGCUGUGUUCACAUUUUCCCUUGGCCACCUUACCAGGGACUUUAAUAACUUGGGAAAGUGAAAACAACAAGCUAACCCACAUGUUCACCAUAGAAAACAAUUUUGUCUUGAAAAACAAGGACUCUUUUUCCCGUGUGGGACCAGUUCCUACUUAUGUUUUACCAGCCAAUUGGACUGGAACCUAUACAGUUGUUUAUUUAGCCCCCGAAAUUAAUAUAGCUCCCAACAACCAAUCCUUCAUUAUACUUUUAACUGCAACCACCAGACACAAAUGAGCCAUCCAACUGAUACCACUUUCGGUAGAGCUAGGAAUAACAGCAGGAGUAGGAAUGAGAGUUAGCAGCCUUGCAGUUUCCCUAUCCUAUUACCAAUGCUUGUCCAAGGAUUUUAUGGAAAGCUUAGGUGACAUUGCCCAAAAGUAUCAUCACCUUACAAAAUCAGAUAGAGUCUUUGGCAGUGGUGGCUUUGUAAAAUAGAAGGGGACUGGAUCUCCUAAAUGCUGAAGAAGGUGGCUUAUGUCUUUUUCCUAGAGGAAGAAUGCUGUUUUUAUGUCAACCAAACAGGAUUAGUAAGGGAUGCCACCCAAAAACUAGCCGAUUGGUACCAUAAGAUAUGACAACAGCUGUCUGAGUCAUGGGGCGCCUAGUCAAAAUGCUAAUUUGGGGCUCACAUCUCCUUCCUCUGGCCAGUCCACUAUUAAUUAUUAUACUUGCCUUGGCUUUUGGAUCAUGUUUGUUAAAUCUUUUAACCAGAUUUAUUUCUUCUUGCCUAGAGACCAUUAUGAUAAUGCAGCAGGGCCACCAGUCAGUUUCAGAUAAUGAUGUCAACCCCGGCCACCAAGAAGUAACCUUGUCUCCACUAGACAGAGCAGGUUGCAGGAAUUUAGCCAAUUCAGAGGUCUUGUUCUCCAUAAUUUGGAAUUUUCCUUCGGAUUUGAUCAAGUUGGAUAGAGUUGGUCAAACCCAAUGGGAAAAAGAUGAAAACAACAAGAAACAGAAACAAACAGCAACAACAACAACAACAAAAACAAUGCAUUUAAUUAAAUGAAGAUGAGCUCAUGCUGGAGUAGGGUGGACUCUGAACCCAGUGGGACAAGCGUCCUUAUUAAGAAGAGGGAAAUCUGGACACACACAGAGCAGAGACCGCCGUGUGAAGAUGGAGGCAGAGAUCGGAGAGAUGCUGCCACACGCCACAAAUGCCUGGGGCUCCCAGAAACUACACGGAGCCUCCCCCAGCGGCUUCAGCAGGAGCAUGGCUCGGCCAACACUUUGAUCUUGGUCUUCCAGCCUCCAGAACGGUGAGUCGUUUUCCUAAAAUUCCCUUUUCCACUGGUGUGUGGUGCAAGAUGAGGCACAUUUUCCAUGGAUGGUGAACAGAGGGAGGAGCCUUUUGAUCACAACCAGGUCACCCCACUUCUAAGCCACUGUGCCUCCAGCCCCACAAGACUAAGGAGAGAGAGCGCAGCGUGGUGGAGAGUGAGCUGUGCUGGGACCAUUGUUUCCGUAACCUCGUUUUCUGUGUCCAGCUGACACACCUUCAAAGUGGCAUCAGGUCCUAAACUGUAGCUUGCAAUGUGCCUGUUUCCAGAAACCAAGGUGAAAGUGCUUUUAGACAGUGUUCCCAUGCAAGAGUCCCUUCCCAGCUUUUUUCUGGAAAUGCAUGUUUCUCUGAACUCUGAGUCCCAAGAAAAAUCACUUGAGACACCAAGAAAAUGGGGGAAGUGCUAAAAUUGUGUGGGAAUUCAAGCUUAACAAUAAACAUCAAGACAUUUUUGAUAAAAAUGAAUCCACUGACAUCGGGGAGGAGCAAGAGAACAGCACGCUGACACUGGGUCAGAGGCUAAGACCGACAUUUCUGGGAACCACUCCCGGA
This 3877-nucleotide long non-coding RNA is filed under the name Homo sapiens (human). RNAcentral's name for it is "LHRI_LNC1267.30". Lineage: Eukaryota; Metazoa; Chordata; Mammalia; Primates; Hominidae. The record is from RNAcentral.